Molecule: non-coding RNA, 1128 nt
Organism: Paramisgurnus dabryanus
Lineage: Eukaryota; Metazoa; Chordata; Actinopteri; Cypriniformes; Cobitidae
Source: RefSeq, a predicted model, not a curated record
ACUGUUAGAUAUCGCUGUAGAUUUAGCAGCACUGUACUGUAAAAAUCCACAGUACUAUACUGUAUGUGUACAUUACAGUAAAGUACUGCAGUUCAUAGUGCAUUCUGGGUAAAUUUGUUUGAGCGGGAAAAUUUUACAGUAUAUUUUGGUCUUGAUGUAACCUUGCUGUAGCCAUUGCUGUAAUGUGCCAGGUGUACUUGCAAUAAUCAGAGAAAGUGCGCACGAGUCAAAUCACACAGAGGGAGAGAGAGCACAACUCCUGGCUGCAGCUGAAGAAGGAGGACGAUUGAUUUCUGGCAGUUCGCUCUAACGUUACAGUUUGCUCCACUUUGCUCUGUGGUUUAUAUGUUUUCUUCUUACCAUUGCUUGUAAGCUGGAUUGAGUAAGAUGGAUCAUCUUUAAAGGAACCAGGAGUUAAGGCAGAUGUGGAGGCACAACGGGUGACACCAGACACACACCAAGCACAUUGUUCGGACAUUCAAUCAUGACAUGAUCCAUGUGGAUGCUGUCCAUUGAGGAAAGAGUUUGUUCAGAGGUUUCUGGACAGAAUUAAUCCCAAAGAUGGGAAAAAGUGCACAUCCAGACAAGGAGCAAGCAAAAAGACAAGGAACUUGGUGCAGAGAAAAGCUGUGGCCAUUAACCCCCAUGUGAACAGCUUCAUGCAGUCCCUGAUAGAGUUUGAAUGGGCGACUUCAAACUAAAGGCCAGUGUCAGUCUGCCACAGUUUAAUGCAUUUAUUUUUAGUGUUCAAUAAAAUUCAAAUAGAAUAUUUAAAACUAUGGGCCAGUGUUCCUUUUACCACAGUUAAAUGUUACCUUUUAGUUGAUGAUGGACUUAAAACUUCAAACUAUGGAACAGUGUUCUUUUUACCACAGUGAAAUGUUACCUUUUAGUCGAUGAUGGACUUUAAACUGAAAACUUCAAACUAUGGACCAGUGUUCUAUUUGCCAGAGUUAAAUAUAUUACAGCAGGGGCCUCAAAACUUGUUUAUACUUUAUAAUAUUUUAUUUUAUUUUACUUGUUUAUUAUUGUUUAUCUUGUUUUAAAUGAUUGUUUCAAUUACAUGUUUUUUUAAUAAAAUUUUUGAUAUAAACAUUGCUUGGAUUGCCUUUUAAUUCAUAAUGUCAU